AAAAGUUAAACAUAACAAGUCAUAAAAGAGAAACGUAACCGUUUGAUUCAUAAUUAACGGCACUACCAUAGAGUUAACAUGAACUUGUUGGCUUAUAAUGAUUGUGGUGCCAAAAAUUGAGUUAGACCAAAAAGGAUGGAAACUCAAAAUGUAUUGUGAAAUUCUACCCAAAAAUAUUGCCAUUCGACCCCUUCCUACUUCUACUAGUAAACUACUAAACAUCAAAUGAAAAGAUAACAAAGAAAACUACUACUACCAUUUACACCGUAGGCCAAGACCUACUUUGAAUCUUCUUUUUCUCCAUCUUCAUCACUCUCUUCUUCUUCAUCUUCUUCAUCUUCACUCUCUUCUUCUUCAUCACUCUUUUCUUUCAUGUAUUUAGUCCUUGACUGUUGUUCCGUCACCUUGAUACAAAACGCCAUCUGUUUUUCCAAUUUGUUUUGUUUCCCAAUUAUCUUUUUCAUGAAGUCUAGCAUCUUGUCUUUUCAGGAUUAUCGUUUGGGUUAAGAAGGCGCUGUGGAAGUAAAGGCGACUCCAAGAUUUAUGGUAGGAUCAGUGCAGGAGUACAGGACAUAGCCUUGCUUUUGUGAACUGAUGCUAGAGUAAUUAGCUCCACGGGUGGUUAGAUCAUGAUAUCAUUUCUGAAGGGAACUCCGUUGGAAGCACAUAAUGAUGUUACCAUUGCCACAAAUGGAAGAUCAACCCUUAGGGAGAUUUUUCUUUGAAGGCCACCAUCUCAGUCAAAAUGUAUUGGGCAAUGUCAAUCAUAACUGAGUUCAUCAUCACAUAUAACAACUCCGCAUCAGCCACUUUGAGUUCUUUUUCAGAGCUUGUUGGUGAGAUGUCAUAAUAUAUAUCUUGGUCAUUAGUUUAUAUUCCAGCUUAAAUUUCCCCAGUACAAAUUUCUUUUCUGCCCUAAACUCAUUUGGAUCAACAUAUAUAGCUCGGCUAUAAUCUUCUUCAGACAAGGAGAUAUAAUUUCCUCAGGGAUAUUGGACCUGAAUAUUACUGGGUCGGUUAUAUUGAAGGUAGGUGGAUAUUAUGUCAGGAGUUAUCUGAAUAUCUUUGCCCCUAACCUUACUUCUGAUUAUGUAUUGUGCAACAAUCUUCAUAUUUUUGUAAAACUCCACACAAACUUCCCAGUAAUACUCGUCUACCUUGUUAAAGAAAAUGUCUAAUCCCCAUUCUAACAGAAUGCGUAUAACUAUGGUAUCAUCAAUCUGUUCUCACAGCACCAGUCUUUUAUAAGUGACCCCCCUCUUUGCUACAGAGGCCUUCCAUUUUGCUAAUGAUUUCUUAGCCUGGGCCUUUCUAAAUUAGAUGUACUUAAGAUCCCCCCACUUAUAUAUCUUCCUUUGAUUUCUCACUCUUAGAUUCUGAUUCAUCCCCCAUUAUUUUCUGCCUUUUCCUUUUCCCGACACUCCCUCUUCGAGAAGUACCUUCACCACUUUUUUGACCUUUGCCUCUUUAAGCAUUUGUUUGAAUCUUCCCAUCAGAACAAUAAUGGCCAAUAAGACUAUGGCCAUCACAACACUCAACAUUGUGGAAGAAUAUCAUCAGAUUCAAUCAACAUUCGGGCCAUAUUUCGAGAGUUUUGUGUGGGUAGCCAAAAUUGGUAGAGAUAGGUGUGUGUUUUUGUAGAUAUGGAGUGUUUGGUAAGUGUGGAUGUGAUUGUGAAGCUUUUGUGAUGAAAAUCAAAGCAAAAACUCCCAAAAUAAUUGAAAUAGUUGAGAUUUAGGUUUACCUUCUUGAAAGCUUAAACAAUAGUGGAGAUGAAGAUCACCCUUUAGAGAGAGAGCGCUUUCCUUUGGACGAAUUUGAGUUUUCUAUGAGGAGAUUUGAGGUUGUUUUGGGGAGAUUAGAGAGAUUUUUUAGGUUAGAGAGAAAGGGACUGUUUUCUUAUGGGUAUAAUGGCUGAUUUAGGGCAUAGGUUAUGUUUUAAAGAGGCCCAGAUCUACGACCUUUUCAUGUUCCUGCAGUGUUUGACCAGUUGACAUAAUUCCCCGAUCUGUUGGGCUUAAAGGGUUUUCCAC
Molecule: long non-coding RNA, 2033 nt
Filed under: Actinidia chinensis (golden kiwifruit)
Lineage: Eukaryota; Viridiplantae; Streptophyta; Magnoliopsida; Ericales; Actinidiaceae
Description: long non-coding RNA (ACHI_LNC006774)
Source: RNAcentral